Molecule: ribosomal RNA, 497 nt
Filed under: uncultured bacterium
Lineage: Bacteria
Description: partial 16S ribosomal RNA
Rfam family: Bacterial small subunit ribosomal RNA
Source: RNAcentral
GAUGAACGCUGGCGGCGUGCCUAAUACAUGCAAGUCGAGCGAACAGACGAGGAGCUUGCUCCUCUGACGUUAGCGGCGGACGGGUGAGUAACACGUGGAUAACCUACCUAUAAGACGGGGAUAAUUUGGGGAAACGGGAGCAAAUACGGGAGAAUCUAUUGAACCGCAGGGGGGAAUAGUGAAAGACGGUGUUGCUGUAAGUAAUAGAGGGAUCCGCGCCGCAUUAGCUAGUUGGUAAGGUAACGGCUUACCAAGGCAACGAUGCGUAGCCGACCUGAGAGGGUGAUCGGCCACACUGGAACUGAGACACGGUCCAGACUCCUACGGGAGGCAGCAGUAGGGAAUCUUCCGCAAUGGGCGAAAGCCUGACGGAGCAACGCCGCGUGAGUGAUGAAGGUCUUCGGAUCGUAAAACUCUGUUAUUAGGGAAGAACAAAUGUGUAAGUAACUAUGCACGUCUUGACGGUACCUAAUCAGAAAGCCACGGCUAACUACGUG